ACGGAGGAUGCAAGCGUUAUCCGGAUUUAUUGGGUUUAAAGGGUGCGCAGCCGGGUUUUUAAGUCACUGGUGAAAUACUGCCGCUUAACGGUAGAAUUGCCAUUGAAACUAGGAAUCUUGAGUGUGGUUGAGGUAGGCGGAAUGUGUAGUGUAACGGUGAAAUGCAUAGAUAUUACACAGAACACCGAUUGCGGAGGCAGCUUACUAAGCCAUAACUGACGCUGAGGCACGAAAGCGUGGGGAGCGAACAGGAUUAGAUACCCUGGUAGUCCACGCUGUAAACGAUGUUCACUCGCUGUUUGCGAUACACAGUAAGCGGCUGAGCGAAAGCAUUAAGUGAACCACCUGGGGAGUACGAUCGCAAGGUUGAAACUCAAAGGAAUUGACGGGGGCCCGCACAAGCGGAGGAACAUGUGGUUUAAUUCGAUGAUACGCGAGGAACCUUACCUGGGCUUAAAUGUAGACUGCAUAGGAUGGAAACAUUCUUUCCCUUCGGGGCUGUUUACAAGGUGCUGCAUGGUUGUCGUCAGCUCGUGCCGUGAGGUGUCGGGUUAAGUCCCAUAACGAGCGCAACCCUUACCGUUAGUUGCCAACAGGUCAAGCUGGGGACUCUAGCGGGACUGCCACCGUAAGGUGAGAGGAAGGUGGGGAUGACGUCAAAUCAGCACGGCCCUUAUGUCCAGGGCUACACACGUGUUACAAUGGCCGGUACAGAGGGCAGCUACCACGCAAGUGGGUGCCAAUCCCGAAAGCCGGUCCCAGUUCGGAUUGGAGUCUGCAACCCGACUUCAUGAAGUUGGAUUCGCUAGUAAUCGCGCAUCAGCCAUGGCGCGGUGAUACGUUCCCGGGCCUUGUACACACCGCCCGUCAAACCAUGGGAGCUGGGGGUGCCUGAAGUCUGUGACCGUUAAGGAGCGGC
Molecule: ribosomal RNA, 919 nt
Filed under: uncultured organism
Description: bacterial SSU rRNA
Rfam family: Bacterial small subunit ribosomal RNA
Source: RNAcentral